This 2009-nucleotide long non-coding RNA is filed under the name Homo sapiens (human). Its description in RNAcentral is "HSALNT0079767". Lineage: Eukaryota; Metazoa; Chordata; Mammalia; Primates; Hominidae. The record is from RNAcentral.
CAAAAAGGAAACGAAGAAGACGAAAGUGAGUGCAAAGCAAGUAGAAUCACAGGAAUGGUCUUUUCAGUAGGUUUUGAGGAUUUCUGAAGUCCGAGACAUAAAGGGAAUGUGCAGGAAGGAAAGGAGAUGGUCAUAAACGAAGUAAAGGAAAUUGAAAUAAGAGGGCUGUGUUUUUUAGUAAUGGCAAAUUAGGGUAGUUGAGACAGGUGGAAGACAAAAUCUUUUUUUUUUUCCUUUUUUUGGAGACGGAGUCUCAUUUUGUCAUCCAAGCUGGAGUGCAGAGGCGUGAUCUAGGCUCACUGCAACCUCUCGGAUUCAAGGGAUUUUCCUGUCUCAGCCUCUCAGAAGAGAACAUCUUCAUAGGAGAGGAGCUCUAGGAACUGAGAAUGCAGGAAAUUGGAAGAAAUAUACAUUAAUAGCCAAGAAUUUAGACAGGACUGGGGAGCCAGGAACAAACAUUUGAGAUGUUGGGCUUUUAAUGGAGUUGCCACGGAUGACAGCAUCAUGAGAAAUGAGGUUUAAAAAUGGAGGAUUGUUCGAGGAGGGAGGAGGGCUGAUCUGAAAGCCACAAGGAGGACAAAUGGAACACCUACCCCCACUACAGGCUGGAAGAAAUAAAAUUCUCCAUUUCCCAGAGACCUCUAGAAAAGAACUCUCUACCUCUUCAUGGGAAUAUACUUUUGCUGCAAGAAAAUAAAAUGUUUUCUCUUUAUCUCUUCAUGGCAGACCUAAGUGUGAGAAAAAGGUUGCUGGUGAUUUACCACACCACAGCCUGAGUACACCCAGGCACGCAUCUUUAAAACAUGCCCAAAGAUAUCUCUGUGAAAUGUAUUCAGUAGUGGAUUCCAGUAUUCACAGCCUUCAUUUACACAGUUCACUUUAUUUAAUUUGUACUUACUGGUAAUAUUAAGUAAUCAGAGUUCAUAUCCUUGGGAAAAUUCUCCCCUGAAGGCCAAUUCAUUCGUAAUAAAAACCACAUUUUGAGCAGUGAGUGAAUCCAGCUGGUUGCACUAGUAAGCCAUUUUCAUUUUUUAUAGCACAUUUCAGCUUUCCAAGUAUUGCAUAUUUGUAUGGGAGAAAUGUUUUCUGAAGUCAAGCUUAAUGAAACAUGAAGUCAAUGAUAUAUGCAAACAUCUAUUUAUUCCUCUGCUGUCUGGGAAGUUUUGAUCAAGAAAACACUUCUGCUCAUUAGAGAAUUGACCAGAUGCAGUGCUAUUAACAUUUCUGUGAUCAAAUAAAGCUCACCCAGAUGAAAGAAGAAUUGCAACACUAACAGCCUGGAAGCACUCAACCGUGGAGAUAUUACCCCCAAAAGUGAAGCAUGCUAAGAUACAAAACAAACUGACUUCAAGCACAUCUGAUUAACAUGGCCAUUGUUAACUUUCCCACUACUUGGGCAGACUUUAAACCUGCUUAUGGAUAAACAGUCAUAUGAUGCUGGUAUAAGAACCUUCAUUUUAUAUCAGUGUAAUUCCUCUAAUGCACAUGUUCUUCAUGUUUUAUAGAAAAUCUGCAAUUUGAUUAUUUUUGUUUACUCCCUCAGUACAUGUACCCUGAGACAAAACUAAACUGAUUCCAUAUAUAGAAUCUUCAAAAACAAAUUUUGUUAAAGAUGUGUUUUUGUUAGAAGUUUUAGCAAAACUGUGUUAAGUUAGAAAGACACAAGUAAUUUAUAACUUCAUGGCCAAUUUAAUGUCACUUCUUUCCCCAGUCUUCUCUCCUCCAUAUUUGUCUACAUUCUUACUAUCAUUUUCUGCUUAUUCUUUGCUCAUUACUAUAUUUGAUAAUACCAACAAUAAGGCAUUUUAAAAGUUUGUUGCUGAUUUGACUAAGAACAUCUCAGUAAUCCAACUGAACUGUACUUCACUGUGUGAUUUUAGAAUGCUUUUCACUAAGUUUAGCAAAAAGCUUCAGAGAAUUGUUAGGAUCCUUUUGAAGUAGUUUUUUUUUUUUCUUUUGUUAGUAAUACGUACCAUCAAACACACACGUUCUUGUGUGCUACUUAUCAG